AAAAAAAAAAAACCCACCCAGUCUAUGGUAUUUUGUUAUGGAACCCCAAGCUAAGACACCAUCACAGAAAAUGGUCACUCAAUCCUCCCAGCCAGCCAUCAGUGGCUCAAUCUAAUACUCAGGUUCUCAAUCAAAGUGCUCCAAGCUCUGGUUUGCGGCGGUACAGCACGGUGGUUCAUUCACAGCCUCUGAAGCUGGCGAUCUAGGACCCUGGACAAGCUACACACCUGCUUCUUCAUCUGGAAAAUGGGGGAAGUAGCAGUUCCUACCUCAAAGCAUUGUUGGGAAGAUUAAAUGAUGAUGAUACAUAAAGAAUAUAGCCCUGCCAGCCCAGCUCUCUGGAGGUAGAAAAUCUGCCCUAUGCAGGCUGCACACAGACUCAGGGAGCCAAGGGCUGCCGGGGGCAUUUGGCCAUCAUUGCCUCUUCCCCAACCCAAGGUUCUGCAGGCAAGUGCCAGCUCCUGUCUGUGGAGCCUUGGCCCAUGGAAAGGCAGAGAGAAUGGCUCUCAUGUCCCUAUCUGAGGGUCCCAAAGGGCUUCCAUGAGGGAGCUGAGCCUCCAAAAUCAUUAAUUCGGAAAAGCCACACAUGAAAAGGAACCUGCUUUUGCAGGGGGCAAAAGAAGUGUGUUGGUUAGCAUGCUGUUCUGGGAGGUUCUUUAGGUGCACCCUGCUUAUUAAGCCUGAUCCUGGGCUUCUGGAACCUGCGACUCACCCCGUUACCAUGGCGUCUGCUGAGCAGCACCUGGCAGUGGUGCCUCUCAUCUCGGCAAAGUGGCUAUGACUCCUGGCUACUUUUUCCCUAGCCAGGGUGAGGAGGAGAGAGAGGAGGGUGCCAGGCAUCUCAUCUGCUCAAUGCUAGAAAGGAAAUUAAAAUAUUGCAGAGAAAUCGCAGAAUUCGUGCAUGCACUGCUUUUCAUUUUUCAAAGAGCUUUUGUGGGCAUUAUGUCACUUGAGCCACCUAAGAACCCUGGGACAGAAGGGAUGACCAGGAAUGUUUUAUUUGCCCAUGUUAUGCAUGAGGAGAUCAAGAACGUGGAGAGGUUAACCCUUCUCACCCGCAGUCAAGGUGAGUGACAACGGGAGGAGCAUAGCACAAAGAAAGCUCCAGAAAAACAAGAAGGAGACCUGGCUUGCGGUUUGGGCUCUAUCACCACCUGCCUGCAUGACCUCUGGCAAGAGCCUUAUCUAUGCUUCAACUUUCUUGUCUGCAAACUGAGGAGCAGGAGACCUACAGCACCAAGCCCACAGGACUACCAUGAGACAAGGCUAAGUGGCUGGAAACAUGUGACAGGCUCUCUAAAUGCCUGGCUCCAGAGAAAGAAUUUUCACAUUGGGUGGGGCAGCUGGUGAAACAAGAGAGGCAACACGUAUUCACUGAAGACUUGUAGGCAGCAAGAGGGAAGCAAGCGAAGACAGUGACACGAAAUAGAUGAUCUGGUGCAAAAUCACCAUUGGCUUAUUAUAGACGUGAUGAGUGAAGAUGGAUCGGGACUCUGUCUUGUGUCAGCAGAGUCCUAGGCCUCGGGGAUUCAGUUGUGAGGAUGACUCUCUCUGCCCUCUUGGAACUACCUAGGAUCGGUCCUGCAGGGAGUGUGUUGUGUUGAUCUUCAGCUUCUAACCUCUGGGGAGGGACGCAGCCCCUCCUGGUCCACCUAAAGUCAUCUUUAAUACUGCCCACCGACUCUCCACACUGUGCAGCUCGACUAAGGCAACCUCCAGAGUCCUAAUUCCCUGUCAUAGGUGAUUGAGAACUAGGAAAACCUCCUCUCCAGGGCAAGGCCAAACCUACUCAAAGGAUCCCGGGCUGGGGGAUUUGCAGGCUGUGUAGGAGCACGCUGACAGAACCCUGGUGAGAAUACAAGUCAGUAACUCUGGCCACUGUUGAAAAGAAAUACUUGUACUUAGCGAGGGCACCGUUCUGUGACAGAUGUUUACAAUGAUGACACUGCAUCAUUUAACAAAGGUUAAAUCAUGUUCAUUAGACUCUGUUUAAGAAGACAUGGCCAUGUGUCAUGUUUUAGAAAGACUGCCAUUACAAAUGAUUCAAAUAAGAAGUUUGAGUACAUGAAUGAGCCAGUCAGCUAUCCAGAAGAUGAGCUUAGAAAGAACAGCUCAUCCCCAAGUGCGGCUUUACUGCAUUGCCAUUUUUAAUUUUAAAAACCUACGUAAAUUUUAGCCGGGCGCAGUGGCUCAUGC
RNAcentral lists this long non-coding RNA (2196 nucleotides) under Homo sapiens (human). RNAcentral describes it as "HSALNT0345668". The record is from RNAcentral. Lineage: Eukaryota; Metazoa; Chordata; Mammalia; Primates; Hominidae.